UACGUAGGGGGCAAGCGUUGUCCGGAAUCAUUGGGCGUAAAGAGCGCGUAGGCGGUCCGGUAAGUCCGCUCUGAAAGUCCGGGGCUCAACCCCGGGAGGCGGGCGGAUGCUGCCGGGCUAGAGUCCGGAAGAGGCGAGUGGAAUUCCUGGUGUAGCGGUGAAAUGCGCAGAUAUCAGGAGGAACACCGAUGGCGAAGGCAGCUCGCUGGGACGGUACUGACGCUGAGGCGCGAAAGCGUGGGGAGCAAACAGG
RNAcentral lists this ribosomal RNA (253 nucleotides) under uncultured bacterium. RNAcentral describes it as "partial 16S ribosomal RNA". It matches the Rfam family "Bacterial small subunit ribosomal RNA", at positions 524 to 776 of the family's 1533-position model. The record is from RNAcentral.